This 64-nucleotide transfer RNA is filed under the name Tremex columba (pigeon tremex). RNAcentral describes it as "tRNA-Gly". The record is from RNAcentral. Lineage: Eukaryota; Metazoa; Arthropoda; Insecta; Hymenoptera; Siricidae.
AUUUAUAUAAUAUAUUUUCCAUUAUAUUUAAUUUCCAAUUAAAAAAUCUCUUUGAGUAUAAAUA